Molecule: ribosomal RNA, 466 nt
Filed under: Penicillium citrinum
Lineage: Eukaryota; Fungi; Ascomycota; Eurotiomycetes; Eurotiales; Aspergillaceae
Description: eukaryotic LSU rRNA
Rfam family: 5.8S ribosomal RNA (bases 111-264)
Source: RNAcentral
CCACCCGUGUUGCCCGAACCUAUGUUGCCUCGGCGGGCCCCGCGCCCGCCGACGGCCCCCCUGAACGCUGUCUGAAGUUGCAGUCUGAGACCUAUAACGAAAUUAGUUAAAACUUUCAACAACGGAUCUCUUGGUUCCGGCAUCGAUGAAGAACGCAGCGAAAUGCGAUAACUAAUGUGAAUUGCAGAAUUCAGUGAAUCAUCGAGUCUUUGAACGCACAUUGCGCCCUCUGGUAUUCCGGAGGGCAUGCCUGUCCGAGCGUCAUUGCUGCCCUCAAGCCCGGCUUGUGUGUUGGGCCCCGUCCCCCCCGCCGGGGGGACGGGCCCGAAAGGCAGCGGCGGCACCGCGUCCGGUCCUCGAGCGUAUGGGGCUUCGUCACCCGCUCUAGUAGGCCCGGCCGGCGCCAGCCGACCCCCAACCUUUAAUUAUCUCAGGUUGACCUCGGAUCAGGUAGGGAUACCCGCUG